This 21-nucleotide microRNA is filed under the name Schistosoma japonicum. RNAcentral describes it as "miRNA-3087". Lineage: Eukaryota; Metazoa; Platyhelminthes; Trematoda; Strigeidida; Schistosomatidae. The record is from RNAcentral.
UCUUCGUCGUAUCUGCCUAUU